CAGUAGCCGCGGGAAUACGGAGGGUGCAAGCGUUAAUCGGAAUUACUGGGCGUAAAGCGUACGCAGGCGGUCUGACAAGUCAGAUGUGAAAUCCCCGGGCUUAACCUGGGAACUGCAUUUGAAACUGUCAGGCUGGAGUCUUGUAGAGGGGGGUGGAAUUCCAGGUGUAGCGGUGAAAUGCGUAGAGAUCUGGAGGAAUACCGGUGGCGAAGGCGGCCCCCUGGACAAAGACUGACGCUCAGGUGCGAAAGCGUGGGGAGCAAACAGGAUUAGAUACCCCUGUAGUCCCUGUCUCUUAUAU
This 301-nucleotide ribosomal RNA is filed under the name uncultured bacterium. Its description in RNAcentral is "partial 16S ribosomal RNA". It matches the Rfam family "Bacterial small subunit ribosomal RNA", at positions 509 to 809 of the family's 1533-position model. The record is from RNAcentral.